Platichthys flesus (European flounder) is the source of this 1262-nucleotide long non-coding RNA. RefSeq lists it as uncharacterized. The record is from RefSeq and is a predicted model, not a curated record. The transcript has 4 exons. Lineage: Eukaryota; Metazoa; Chordata; Actinopteri; Pleuronectiformes; Pleuronectidae.
AUGUUGUGGUGGAGGACGGAGGUCCGCCAUCUUGUCUGCAGGUUGGACUUGCGGAUAUUGGGACUGAGGAAGAAAGGCAGAAAAGCACAAGAGAACAAAAGCGCUCAGGUUGUGUUAUGGACACAGUCAAAAUUCCCAGUGUGUCCAACCAGUCUGCUGGUGUUACCAUGUCGGUGUCAUAGCUGCAGGCAUGUAUCUGUAAUCACUUUUUAAACAAAUAUAGUUUAACCAGUUUAAUGUUGACAACAAAAUGUUUAAAUUCCGUUACAUGAGCUCGCUUGGGCACCAGAGGAUGACAGCAUGGCCUUCACCCAGCAGCCCCCUGUGGUUUAUCCUGACCUGCACCACCACUAACCAUUAUGCACCCGUCUAUAAUCAAGGGUGGAGGACAGCUGCAGAGCACCUCCCUCACCAGCUGGGCCCAGUUCGGCUGUCCCCUGUGCCCCAAGUUCAGCACAGCACAGGGAGAGACACUACGGAGACACCUGGGGGCCCACGUACAGAAUGCAGUGCAUCUUCAAGACACUAUCAUUUGCAGAUGCAACCUGUCGUGCAGAGACACGGGUCAUUACCACUGUCCAAACUGCACAAAAACAAUUGUGCGCAAAAGAGAUAUCACGUCACACGUGACUGGAUGUCAGAGACCAUGUGAUAAAGUACCACCGCCAUGUGAAACACCCUCCACUCAGUCAGCUGACCUCAGCCAAUCUGCACCUUCAUCAUCAUCAAUGGUCUUCACCUCCUUUGCUUCCCAUGAGAAGUCAGCACACGCUCCAGGAUGCACAUCUUCAAAACCUGACUCAGAGCCUCACUCUCCCCUAUCUGCUCCAGAGGAUUCAAUCACAAAUGAAGACCACUGCUACACACUUUGUCCCAAAGCUUCUGUUGCACCACAGUCGUCUCCGCCACCCUCAGCCUCACCCCCAAAGGACUCUGAGUUGGAUUUAUCACCCAGGGAAGAAGUCAGUGCUGCCGCUGCUGCUGCAGGCUCUGAAGCAACAGAGCUGACAUGUUUUCGUGUGGCAAAUUUGAAAUCAGUGAAGUGUCCUCACUGCUCCAUCGUUCUUUACAAAAAAAAUCUGUCAGUACACAUGCAAAGGAAGCAUGCAACGCUCAAAGACAUCACAGGUUCAUCUCACCUGGAAUAUGUUGAUAGGAAUUGUAGCACAGGGACACCGGUAACAAGCAGAGGUCACCUGAGCCGGGGAGAGUCUGUUGUUAUCAUCUUAUUAAAAAAAAUAAACAAAUGACUGAAUAAAUAA